Molecule: ribosomal RNA, 438 nt
Filed under: uncultured bacterium
Lineage: Bacteria
Description: partial 16S ribosomal RNA
Rfam family: Bacterial small subunit ribosomal RNA
Source: RNAcentral
CCUAGGGUGGCAGCAGUGGGGAAUAUUGCGCAAUGGGCGAAAGCCUGACGCAGCGACGCCGCGUGAACGACGAAGUCUUUCGGGAUGUAAAGUUCUGUCAAGAGGGACGAUUAUGACGGUACCUCUAGAGGAAGCCCCGGCUAAUUACGUGCCAGCAGCCGCGGUAAUACGUAAGGGGCGAGCAUUAUCCGGAUUUAUUGGGCAUAAAGCGCACGUAGGUGGUAUUUUAAGUCAGAUGUUAAAGACUCCAGCUCAACUGGAGUUUGCCCCUGAAACUGAAAUACUAGAGGUCAGUAGAGGAAAGCGGAACUCACAGUGUAGCGGUGAAAUGCGUAGAUAUUGUGAGGAACACCAGUUGCGAAGGCGGCUUUCUGGCCUGAUCCUGACACUGAGGUGCGAAAGCGUGGGGAGCGAACGGGAUUAGAUACCCCAGUAGUC